Molecule: ribosomal RNA, 680 nt
Filed under: Novosphingobium resinovorum
Lineage: Bacteria; Pseudomonadati; Pseudomonadota; Alphaproteobacteria; Sphingomonadales; Sphingomonadaceae
Description: SSU rRNA
Rfam family: Bacterial small subunit ribosomal RNA
Source: RNAcentral
UAAACGAUGAUAACUAGCUGUCCGGGUGCAUGGCACUUGGUGGCGCAGCUAACGCAUUAAGUUAUCCGCCUGGGAGUACGGUCGCAAGAUUAAAACUCAAAGGAAUUGACGGGGGCCUGCACAAGCGGUGGAGCAUGUGGUUUAAUUNGAAGCAACGCGCAGAACCUUACCAGCGUUUGACAUGCCGGUCGCGGAUAGUGGAGACACUUUCCUUCAUUCGGCUGGACCGUGCACAGGUGCUGCAUGGCUGUCGUCAGCUCGUGUCGUGAGAUGUUGGGUUAAGUCCCGCAACGAGCGCAACCCUCGACUUUAGUUACCAUCAUUUAGUUGGGUACUCUAAAGUAACCGCCGGUGAUAAGCCGGAGGAAGGUGGGGAUGACGUCAAGUCCUCAUGGCCCUUACGCGCUGGGCUACACACGUGCUACAAUGGCGGUGACAGUGGGCAGCAAUCCCGCGAGGGUGAGCUAAUCUCCAAAAACCGUCUCAGUUCGGAUUGUUCUCUGCAACUCGAGAGCAUGAAGGCGGAAUCGCUAGUAAUCGCGGAUCAGCAUGCCGCGGUGAAUACGUUCCCAGGCCUUGUACACACCGCCCGUCACACCAUGGGAGUUGGAUUCACCCGAAGGUGGUGCGCUAACCCUUAAGGGAGGCAGCCAACCACGGUGGGUUUAGCGACUGGGGUG